RNAcentral lists this ribosomal RNA (440 nucleotides) under uncultured bacterium. RNAcentral's name for it is "bacterial SSU rRNA". It matches the Rfam family "Bacterial small subunit ribosomal RNA", at positions 338 to 795 of the family's 1533-position model. The record is from RNAcentral.
CCUACGGGGGGCUGCAGUGGGGAAUAUUGCACAAUGGGCGCAAGCCUGAUGCAGCGACGCCGCGUGAGCGAUGAAGGCCUUCGGGUCGUAAAGCUCUGUCCUAAGGGAAGAAUAAUGACGGUACCUUAGGAGGAAGCCCCGGCUAACUACGUGCCAGCAGGCGCGGUAAUACGUAGGGGGCGACCGUUCUCCGGAAUCACUGGGCGGAAAGGGGGCGUAGGCGGCUCUGCAAGUCAGGAGUUGAAUCCCUCUGCUCAACCGAGGUCAGCUCGUGAAACUGUAGGGCUUGUGGGCAGGGGAGGAGUGCGGAAUUCCUUGUGUAGCGGGGAAAUGCGUAGUUAUUAGGAGGAACACCAGUGGCGAAGGCGGCUCUCUGGACUGCAACUGACUCUGAGGCUCGAAAGCGUUGGGAGCGAACAGGAUUAGAGACCCCAGUAGUC